GUGAACGCUGGCGGUAGGCCUAACACAUGCAAGUCGAACGGCAGCACAGUAAGAGCUUGCUCUUACGGGUGGCGAGUGGCGGACGGGUGAGGAAUACAUCGGAAUCUACUUUUUCGUGGGGGAUAACGUAGGGAAACUUACGCUAAUACCGCAUACGACCUACGGGUGAAAGCAGGGGAUCUUCGGACCUUGCGCGAUUGAAUGAGCCGAUGUCGGAUUAGCUAGUUGGCGGGGUAAAGGCCCACCAAGGCGACGAUCCGUAGCUGGUCUGAGAGGAUGAUCAGCCACACUGGAACUAAGACACGGUCCAGACUCCUACGGGAGGCAGCAGUGGGGAAUAUUGGACAAAGGGCGCAAGCCUGAUCCAGCCAUACCGCGUGGGUGAAGAAGGCCUUCGGGUUGUAAAGCCCUUUUGUUGGGAAAGAAAAGCAGCAGGUUAAUACCCCGCUGUUCUGACGGUACCCAAAGAAUAAGCACCGGCUAACUUCGUG
This 491-nucleotide ribosomal RNA is filed under the name uncultured bacterium. RNAcentral's name for it is "partial 16S ribosomal RNA". It matches the Rfam family "Bacterial small subunit ribosomal RNA", at positions 29 to 507 of the family's 1533-position model. The record is from RNAcentral.